AAAGUAAGUGUUUGCCACUCUUGUCCCAUCAUCAUUUUGUACUACUUUUGUGUAUUUACUACCGUUGCAGGAAUGCCCAUAAUGCCAACUUCAGAGAAAUGUGUAUCAGGUGAUGAAACUGUAAACUGAUUCUGAUACACUUUACGUAAAGUGAUGACACUUACGUAGAUUGCAGUAUGGUUUUUUUUUUGCAUUUCAGACAGACAGCAUGUGUAUAUACUCAUUUUUUCAGAUAACACACAUCCAAUGGAUCCGUCACCACAAGAUGAAAGAACAGGGACGCUGCUGAUAACUGUAAUUGUUGUGAGUUGUUCUGGAGUAGCUGUGGCCUUCAUCGUCAUGGGAUUUUUACUUCUCUAUACUCGAAGAAGAGCUGAGUGAAGAAUACCAACAGAGGCACCUCAGAGAAAUUAUGGGUGUCAUUUCAAAAGAAUACAGUGUUGACAAUGGGAUUAAUUAUGAAGUUAAACAUUUUAUUAUUGUCAGCUUUUGUGUGUGUGUUUUAUAAUUUACAUUUCAUUUAAAGUUUGAUCCCCAAAUGGUUUCAUAUUGUUAAAGCAGAGAUGCAAAUUAACUAUAAAGAAGUAAAUAGUGUGUUCAAACAAGAUGAUAAAACCAAUAAAAAGUAAAUUAUUUAUAAAUAAUAAAAUAAUAACUAUUUUAGAGCUCACUGAUUUUGUUUUUGUCCUUAAAAAACAAAAUAAACGUAUUGUAAGAACUCCAGCAAUAGAGAGAAUAUAAAUUAUUGGUCAGAUUGUCUGUGUACUUCUCUCAUUAUGUUUUUUUCCUUUAUUUUCGUUUCGUUUGUGGCUUCUAUUGACUGGAUUGCACAGCCACAUCUUUAAUUUCAGUAAAUGUCAUCAGUGUAGCAUUUGCAGUUGUUUUAAGGUUUCUAAUAACAAAUAGUUUCUAGAUGGUAUUUUUGAUGUUCUUAUGGAGACUCACUCUUUCUCUCUGUAGGCAUAAGAAAUGAAACAGGAAGGGUAAUGUGACCUGCAUUGUUGCACUAACUUUGAUGCCCUAGCCUAAAAAUUACUCCCACAGACCCUAAAACACCUUUAAUGCAGUUCUUUUCAGCAUUUGAUGCUAAUCUGAAUAAACACAUAAACAGAAUUAGACUGCUUAACUGGUAACACAUAAAUUAAACUGAUAUUGAUGUCUGUCUUUUUAGUUUAUUUCACUGGUUCUGAAUUUGCAUCAGUUGGUCUGUACUAAAAAAAAAUAAAUCUAAAUAUACAACAUGCUGGGGGGUUUACAGAGGAAGACUGAAUGUGUUUUUGUGGUUAUUGUAUUUUGAUGCUGUUCUGGUUUCCUGAUGUGUAUAAAGUGUCGACAAAAUGUGUUUGUUAAAGUCAGGUAGAUGUAGUGUUUGGAGGUAUUCCUCUCAGUUGUAGUAAUCUGCUGUUUGCCAUCUUCCUCUCUAUGCUGAACUUUGUUUAAUUGUUCAUACUGCCACUUAACCUCAAUAAAAACAUGAUGCCUUAAUUACCCUUCUAGCAAUCGAUAUUAUUAUUAGUGGAUUUAUUUAAUUUGUUAACUAUUUGUUUCUCCAACAGAUUCUUUUUGUGAGAAGUUACAUUUGAUGAAUCUAAUAUGUGUUUUAAUGGUUUUAAUGGUUAUCUUUUUUGACAACUGACAUUGUUGGGCACCAGCAUCUGCCUCAGUAUUUCAGUGCUAUUUUGAUACUGGAGAGAAAUAAACUACUAAAGGCUGGCAUUAAAGUGUUCUGGUGUACAUGAUAUGAAAAUGUAAAAGAAAAAGAAAUAGCAAAUAAACAUGUAAACUGUUUUGUACAAGUGACAAAGAGUUGGCAAAGAGUUCAUCUAAAUAUAUUUGUCAUGUUCCCCCGUGCGCUGUUUGGAUGAGUGUGUUUUUUAUAUUCUAGAGUCCGAGUGUGCGAGAGGUCUCCGCCUGAUUGGCCACAUGUCAAAUUUUUCACCUGAGCCGUUGGAUUAGUUCCCAUCCGGGUUUAAAAGUUUGGAUCUUCUCAGGCACUGCCAGACUGUUGCACUGCAUGUUGUGAAGGAAGCCUGGAUCAAAACUAUUGCUUCUGUGUUGUUGCCUUGUUAUCAUUGUUUGCUUUACUUUUUCUUUGUCCAGAAACUCACCCCUGAGGAGAAACUGUGCGAGAGGAUUUUGUCUGGAAACACACGAGGGAGAGACAACCACUGAAUUAUUUAUAAUUAACCUUUUACGAGCAUAUUUCUGAGGAAAAGCCUGUUGCCAGCCUAUUGAAUAACUCCUUCUUUAUAACCUUACCACUGUGCUCUGUGCAUGUGUCCAGGUUUCCAUACAGCUUGACAAUAUUAUAGUUUUAUAGGUUGAGGGUUUCAAAGAGUGUGCUAGAACAGGUCUAUUUGAAGAGUGCCUUACUGUGGCCACCUACUGUUUACUUCAGAGUACUCAGAGUAGUUUUAGUUUGUAUAUUCACAUCAUUCAUUUUAAUAUGGCUGCUGCUAGUGGUCUUUAUGUGUCUCAUCUUUUUAUUACCCACUGGUCUCUGAGUUUUGAUUAAAGAAAAGUAUCCAGCAUUCAGGAAAACAGACAAAGAAAAAAUAAGUGUGCAUUGUUGUUUAUCUUUUGUCUUUUUCCUGUUUUACUUGGGAGGUUAGUUUUCUU
Molecule: long non-coding RNA, 2619 nt
Organism: Oreochromis niloticus (Nile tilapia)
Lineage: Eukaryota; Metazoa; Chordata; Actinopteri; Cichliformes; Cichlidae
Source: Ensembl